UACUAGUAGUACAAGUAGUACAUACUAGUAGUAUUAGUACUAAUACUAGUAGGAUUAGUACUAGUACCAGAAGUUCUAAUUCUACUAGUAGUAC
This 94-nucleotide transfer RNA is filed under the name Amborella trichopoda. Its description in RNAcentral is "tRNA AMTR_s00196t00274040". Lineage: Eukaryota; Viridiplantae; Streptophyta; Magnoliopsida; Amborellales; Amborellaceae. The record is from RNAcentral.